This 515-nucleotide ribosomal RNA is filed under the name uncultured bacterium. RNAcentral describes it as "partial 16S ribosomal RNA". It matches the Rfam family "Bacterial small subunit ribosomal RNA", at positions 28 to 523 of the family's 1533-position model. The record is from RNAcentral.
GAUGAACGCUGGCGGCGUGCCUAAUACAUGCAAGUCGAGCGAAUGGAUUAAGAGCUUGCUCUUAUGAAGUUAGCGGCGGACGGGUGAGUAACACGUGGGUAACCUGCCCAUAAGACUGGGAUAACUCCGGGAAACCGGGGCUAAUACCGGAUAACAUUUUGAACCGCAUGGUUCGAAAUUGAAAGGCGGCUUCGGCUGUCACUUAUGGAUGGACCCGCGUCGCAUUAGCUAGUUGGUGAGGUAACGGCUCACCAAGGCAACGAUGCGUAGCCGACCUGAGGAGGGGAGGGGCCACACUGGGACUGGGACACGGCCAAGACCCCUACGGGAGGCAGCAGUAGGGAAUCUUCCGCAAUGGACGAAAGUCUGGCGGAGCAACGCCGCGUGAGUGAUGAAGGCUUUCGGGUCGUAAAACUCUGUUGUUAGGGAAGAACAAGUGCUAGUUGAAUAAGCUGGCACCUUGACGGUACCUAACCAGAAAGCCACGGCUAACUACGUGCCAGCCGCCGCAGUAA